RNAcentral lists this ribosomal RNA (393 nucleotides) under uncultured bacterium. Its description in RNAcentral is "partial 16S ribosomal RNA". It matches the Rfam family "Bacterial small subunit ribosomal RNA", at positions 523 to 917 of the family's 1533-position model. The record is from RNAcentral.
AUACGUAGGGAGCGAGCGUUGUCCGGAAUUACUGGGCGUAAAGGGCGCGUAGGCGGCGCUUCAAGUCGUCUGUCAAAUGGGAGGGCUUAACCCUUUUUCGCAGACGAAACUGGAGAGCUUGAGAAGCAGAGAGGCAAACAGAAUUCCUGGUUUAGCGGUGAAAUGCGUAGAUAUCAGGAAGAAUACCAGUGGCGAAGGCGGUUUGCUGGCUGCAUACUGACGCUGAAGCGCGAAAGCCAGGGGAGCAAACGGGAUUAGAUACCCCGGUAGUCCUGGCAGUAAACGAUGUAUGCUGGGUGUGAGACUAGCGAUAGUUUCGUGCCGAAGUUAACGCGAUAAGCAUACCGCCUGGGGAGUACGGUCGCAAGAUUGAAACUCAAAGGAAUUGACGGG